AAAUUGAAGAGUUUGAUCAUGGCUCAGAUUGAACGCUGGCGGCAGGCCUAACACAUGCAAGUCGAACGGUAGCACAGAGAGCUUGCUCUCGGGUGACGAGUGGCGGACGGGUGAGUAAUGUCUGGGAAACUGCCUGAUGGAGGGGGAUAACUACUGGAAACGGUGGCUAAUACCGCAUAACGUCGCAAGACCAAAGAGGGGGACCUUCGGGCCUCUUGCCAUCAGAUGUGCCCAGAUGGGAUUAGCUUGUUGGUGAGGUAACGGCUCACCAAGGCGACGAUCCCUAGCUGGUCUGAGAGGAUGACCAGCCACACUGGAACUGAGACACGGUCCAGACUCCUACGGGAGGCAGCAGUGGGGAAUAUUGCACAAUGGGCGCAAGCCUGAUGCAGCCAUGCCGCGUGUAUGAAGAAGGCCUUCGGGUUGUAAAGUACUUUCAGCGGGGAGGAAGGUGUUGUGGUUAAUAACCACAGCAAUUGACGUUACCCGCAGAAGAAGCACCGGCUAACUCCGUGCCAGCAGCCGCGGUAAUACGGAGGGUGCAAGCGUUAAUCGGAAUUACUGGGCGUAAAGCGCACGCAGGCGGUCUGUCAAGUCGGAUGUGAAAUCCCCGGGCUCAACCUGGGAACUGCAUUCGAAACUGGCAGGCUUGAGUCUUGUAGAGGGGGGUAGAAUUCCAGGUGUAGCGGUGAAAUGCGUAGAGAUCUGGAGGAAUACCGGUGGCGAAGGCGGCCCCCUGGACAAAGACUGACGCUCAGGUGCGAAAGCGUGGGGAGCAAACAGGAUUAGAUACCCUGGUAGUCCACGCCGUAAACGAUGUCUACUUGGAGGUUGUGCCCUUGAGGCGUGGCUUCCGGAGCUAACGCGUUAAGUAGACCGCCUGGGGAGUACGGCCGCAAGGUUAAAACUCAAAUGAAUUGACGGGGGCCCGCACAAGCGGUGGAGCAUGUGGUUUAAUUCGAUGCAACGCGAAGAACCUUACCUGGUCUUGACAUCCACAGAACUUUCCAGAGAUGGAUUGGUGCCUUCGGGAACUGUGAGACAGGUGCUGCAUGGCUGUCGUCAGCUCGUGUUGUGAAAUGUUGGGUUAAGUCCCGCAACGAGCGCAACCCUUAUCCUUUGUUGCCAGCGGUUAGGCCGGGAACUCAAAGGAGACUGCCAGUGAUAAACUGGAGGAAGGUGGGGAUGACGUCAAGUCAUCAUGGCCCUUACGACCAGGGCUACACACGUGCUACAAUGGCGCAUACAAAGAGAAGCGACCUCGCGAGAGCAAGCGGACCUCAUAAAGUGCGUCGUAGUCCGGAUUGGAGUCUGCAACUCGACUCCAUGAAGUCGGAAUCGCUAGUAAUCGUGGAUCAGAAUGCCACGGUGAAUACGUUCCCGGGCCUUGUACACACCGCCCGUCACACCAUGGGAGUGGGUUGCAAAAGAAGUAGGUAGCUUAACCUUCGGGAGGGCGCUUACCACUUUGUGAUUCAUGACUGGGGUGAAGUCGUAACAAGGUAACCGUAGGGGAACCUGCGGUUGGAUCACCUCCUUACCUUAAAGAAGC
This 1552-nucleotide ribosomal RNA is filed under the name Salmonella enterica subsp. enterica serovar Havana. RNAcentral describes it as "bacterial SSU rRNA". It matches the Rfam family "Bacterial small subunit ribosomal RNA". Lineage: Bacteria; Pseudomonadati; Pseudomonadota; Gammaproteobacteria; Enterobacterales; Enterobacteriaceae. The record is from RNAcentral.